UGGUACAACCCAUUCAUGUUCACAUAUACCAUCCAUGUAAACAAUGUAUACCUGGUAAAAACCAUUCAUGUUCCCAUAUACCAUUCAUGUAAACAGUGUAUACCUGGUACAAACCAUACAUGUAAACAAUGUAUGCCUGGUACAAACCAUUCAUGUUCACAUAUACUUAAGAGGUACAGCCCUGCUGUUUUAUGUAGUGCCUAAUUGGUGCAAGUUUGUUAAAAAUAGUAUCAAACCUUUAUUCUCCUUGUUCUGUUUUUUUUUCGCUCCAAAAAGAGAAUAAACAAAACCUAAUUUGUCUUCUGGUUGUCAAGACGAAAAAAAGAAAUGAAAUGAAAUGGCACAAAUUAGUUACCUGGAUUGUAUGAGAGUAUUCUAGAUGCAAGGCGGUGGGACAUUGACAUACACUGUAUCAACUUAUAUAGAGUCACACAUACACCUGGACCGUGGGGAUCUGUGCCACACCCUCAUGUACGCACACACCGUGAUUUUGUUUUCAUAUUCAUAUGUUAUUAUGUAAUCGCUGUAGUCUGGACUAUAUUAGUUAGGAGAGUCACUUUUUGAGACAUCCAAAUAAAUAACUUUUAAAAUGUUGAUGCUGAAGUUUGUGGAACUAUAGUAAGACUUCUCCUGAAUCUUUCUUUGCUACAAGUCCUAUAUUUAUUUUCACUGUAUAUAUAAAUGACUCCCUCAAAUACGUGUUUUGUUUUAAAAAAAAAUAAGAAAAACCAAUACAAAAUGCUUCGUUCUGAUUCAAUUUAGAAAGACCCCUUGUAAAUAUAUUGAACAUUGUAUUUUGUAAACGCUAAAUGUGACAUGUCCAGGGCAUCUUAAUUACUUUGGGAAUGGGGCCUAAGGCUCUUAAAUUAGGUAACAAGGGAAAUUGGGGAAAGCGGCAAUAAUAAGGAAAAUCCUGAUAGAACAUCUAUCUAAAGAAUUGUUUCUCCGUUGACAAGAAUUUCAGCAAACAACAGGCAACAAAAAUAUACACAUGACGACACUGUCUUGAUUAAUAAACACAAUUAUUUAUCGACCCGCAUCUAAUUGGGAAGUUUAGAGUUUGGAUUGGGAACAUGUACAGGUUUUGCCUUAGGAGUGGGGCUGGUAUUUGGCCCCAGAAAGGGCAUGUUUGUACAUGUGACAAUCUUACAAUUUCACAUAUAAAAGACUGUCAGUGUUUUUAUCUUCACACUGAACAGACACAUACAUUAAAUUCUGCCCUUGAUUUUUUUCACCACAAUUUUCCUUUUUUAACAAACACUAUAUUCAAUGCUAUUUUUAAAUACUACACAUUGCAGUAGCGUUCAAACAGAUCUAAAUACCAUGCAUCUAUAACAAUAUCAAGCAGAGGUGUGUCCAUGGCAACCAUCUUAUUAUCUUCAGACUUUCCACUAUAUCCAAAAUUAAGUUGAAAGAUUUUACAUCAUGGGUGAAUGAACACAUUUGAAAUGUCAAGGUUAUCAAAAGUUGUUUGGGUACAAGACAUGUCCCCAAUUUUUAUAAUUACAAUUCUAAAUAUCUGCGAUAAAGGGGACCAUGAAAUACUAGGGCAGUAAGCCAGAGGUAGUAAAUGAAACAAGGGGCGUUUGAAUGGAGUUUACAGAACCAAAUCAAGCCUACAUUGUACAGAACCAAGGUCAUCAAGUAUACAUAAGUAUACUUAUAUAUAUAAAUGUAUAGUGUACUAGAUCCAGCCUCAAACAAUUUAUAUUGGAAUCAAUGUUUUAUCAUAACCAUUAUAUCUGCAAACAAAAUAUUCUGAGAUUCAAAAUUACUUCCUCAAUAUUAUUAAUUAACACAAAAUAUUUCUUGAAUUUAAACUUUUCAAUAAAUUUCCAAAAAUUUGAAUAUUUAUUAAUUACAUGUAGUUAAUUAAUAGGAUAGAAGUUAGGGACAGACAAGCAUUUUUUCUGGACCAAUCUGGGACAAUUUAAAAAAGCAACUUGCCACCUGUAUAACAUUGUUACUCUUGUCUUUUGAAAAUUCUAUGACCAUAAUUUACAACAAUUUGUUUUUCAUAUUCUUGAAUUUUCAAAAAAUCUCGGGGAUUCUGAUACUACAGUAGUUAAAUUUGUUUACCAAUGAUAAAACGGAAAUUAACCACUUUUCUUCUCUGACAAGAAACCCAUGGACACACUUCAACAUAUGCAAAAAAAAAUCAGUAUAAACAAUGAACCUAUUAAUAUCAAAGCCUCUUGCUUCAAACAAGUUUUAUUUGAUAAAAAUAUGUACAACCAACAAAAAUUAUAACAAUUGUCAUUAAAGUCAAAUACAGUACAUUAAGUAUGUACUAUUUCUAUUCUUACUGUUCACUGUUUAACAAACUGUUCACAGUAAUGGGAGAGAUUAACGAACAUCUGUAUAUAAUGCCAUAUAGUAACAGCUCAACUAGAACAUUUCUUACUUACAUUGUCUGUAGUUUUGAUUUUUCACAAUGUUGAUGUUAAAAAAUACAUAUCUGUAAUAAAUCAAUGUAAUGAAACCAAAUUUGACAUUAAUUGAAACGAAGGAUAUGAACUUACAUUACACAUGAUUUUCAACCGGUGUGUCAUUGACAAAUCAAUCUCAAAUAACAGAGGUUCCUUAAUUCUGAAAUAUUGUUAAAACUCUGGUAACAAUGUUUCCUAUCUUAUAUUUCACAAAGAGUUCUGAAGAACUUGAUAUACUGUAUGUGUACAAACAGUAUGUCUAUCGUACAGGGCAAUGGUAUGAUUUGUAGGUUUGAAAAGAGUGUCACAAAAUUGAUUGACCUGAUAUUUAACUAUUGAAAGUGUUUGACCGGAUAAACAAUUGGGAACAGGUAUAUUUUUCAUGCAAAAUAUUAGCAAUACUUCACAGUGCAUGUGUUAAAACAUUUUAACAAUGCUUCACAACUCAUGUUCUAUAAAUCUUUUGAAUAUACGGGUCAAGUAUAGUUACAUUCCUUAGUUCAUUAAUUUGUGAAUGUUUUCAUAAAGGAUAUAAGCUUCUAUCAAAGAAAUGCUAAAAUCUAUUAUAUAUCUCCCACAAGUCAUCAGAAACCAAAUAUAUUCAGACAACUACAAUAUUUUAAAACAAUGUUUAAAUAUCAAUAUGCUGAAAAUCUUGUAAGUAUCACAGCUAGCAGUUAAUUUCACUGUCUAAAACCA
RNAcentral lists this long non-coding RNA (3128 nucleotides) under Mizuhopecten yessoensis (Yesso scallop). RNAcentral's name for it is "uncharacterized LOC110463045". Lineage: Eukaryota; Metazoa; Mollusca; Bivalvia; Pectinida; Pectinidae. The record is from RNAcentral.